Molecule: ribosomal RNA, 505 nt
Filed under: uncultured bacterium
Lineage: Bacteria
Description: partial 16S ribosomal RNA
Rfam family: Bacterial small subunit ribosomal RNA
Source: RNAcentral
GACGAACGCUGGCGGCGUGCCUAAUACAUGCAAGUAGAACGCACAGUUUAUACCGUAGCUUGCUACACCAUAGACUGUGAGUUGCGAACGGGUGAGUAACGCGUAGGUAACCUGCCUGGUAGCGGGGGAUAACUAUUGGAAACGAUAGCUAAUACCGCAUAAUAUUGAUUAUUGCAUGAUAAUUGAUUGAAAGAUGCUAUUGCAUCACUACCAGAUGGACCUGCGUUGUAUUAGCUAGUAGGUGAGGUAACGGCUCACCUAGGCGACGAUACAUAGCCGACCUGGUAGGGUGAUCGGCCACACUGGGACUGAGACACGGCCCAGACUCCUACGGGAGGCAGCAGUAGGGAAUCUUCGGCAAUGGACGAAAGUCUGACCGAGCAACGCCGCGUGAGUGAAGAAGGUUUUCGGAUCGUAAAGCUCUGUUGUAAGAGAAGAACGGGUGUGAGAGUGGAAAGUUCACACUGUGACGGUAUCUUACCAGAAAGGGACGGCUAACUACGUG